GAUGAAGAACGUAGCGAAUUGCGAUAAGUAAUGUGAAUUGCAGAUUUUCAGUGAAUCAUCGAAUCUUUGAACGCACCUUGCGCUCCUUGGUAUUCUGAGGAGCAUGCCUGUUCGAGCGUCAUUUGUACCUUCAAGCUUUGCUUGGUGUUGGGUGUUUGUCCUGAGGGACUCGCCUUAAAGUAAUUGGCAGCCAGUGUUUUGGUUUUGAAGCGCAGCACAAGUCGCGAUUCAAGGCUAUACGCCAGCUUCCACAAGCCUUUUUCACUUUUGACCUCGGAUCAGGUAGGGAUACCCGCUGAACUUAAGCAUAUCAAUAAGCGGAGGA
This 325-nucleotide unclassified non-coding RNA is filed under the name soil metagenome. Its description in RNAcentral is "partial contains 5.8S ribosomal RNA, internal transcribed spacer 2, and large subunit ribosomal RNA". The stretch from base 1 to 121 matches the Rfam family "5.8S ribosomal RNA", at positions 35 to 154 of the family's 154-position model. The record is from RNAcentral.